GGAAUAUUGCACAAUGGGGGAAACCCUGAUGCAGCGACGCCGCGUGAGUGAAGAAGUAUCUCCGUAUGUAAAGCUCUAUCAGCAGGGAAGAAAAUGACGGUACCUGACUAAGAAGCCCCGGCUAACUACGUGCCAGCAGCCGCGGUAAUACGUAGGGGGCAAGCGUUAUCCGGAUUUACUGGGUGUAAAGGGAGCGUAGACGGCGGAGCAAGUCUGAAGUGAAAGCCCGGGGCUCAACCCCGGGACUGCUUUGGAAACUGUUCUGCUAGAGUGCUGGAGAGGUAAGUGGAAUUCCUAGUGUAGCGGUGAAAUGCGUAGAUAUUAGGAGGAACACCAGUGGUGAAGGCGGCUUACUGGACAGUAACUGACGUUGAGGCUCGAAAGCGUGGGGAGCAAACA
Molecule: ribosomal RNA, 399 nt
Filed under: uncultured bacterium
Lineage: Bacteria
Description: bacterial SSU rRNA
Rfam family: Bacterial small subunit ribosomal RNA
Source: RNAcentral